AGUGAACGCUGGCGGUAGGCCUAACACAUGCAAGUCGAACGGCAGCACAGUAAGAGCUUGCUCUUACGGGUGGCGAGUGGCGGACGGGUGAGGAAUACCUCGGAAUCUACUUUUUCGUGGGGGCUAACGUAGGGAAACUUACGCUAAUACCGCAUACGACCUACGGGUGAAAGCAGGGGAUCUUCGGACCUUGCGCGAUUGAAUGAGCCGAGGUCGGAUUAGCUAGUUGGCGGGGUAAAGGCCCACCAAGGCGACGAUCCGUAGCUGGUCUGAGAGGAUGAUCAGCCGCACUGGAACUGAGACACGGUCCAGACUCCUACGGGAGGCAGCAGUGGGGAAUAUUGGACAAUGGGCGCAAGCCUGAUCCAGCCAUACCGCGUGUGUGAAGAAGGCCUUCGGGUUGUAAAGCCCUUUUGUUGGGAAAGAAAAGCAGCAGGUUAAUACCCCGCUGUUCUGACGGUACCCAAAGAAUAAGCACCGGCUAACUUCGUG
RNAcentral lists this ribosomal RNA (492 nucleotides) under uncultured bacterium. Its description in RNAcentral is "partial 16S ribosomal RNA". It matches the Rfam family "Bacterial small subunit ribosomal RNA", at positions 29 to 507 of the family's 1533-position model. The record is from RNAcentral.